GGGCCCGCACAAGCGGUGGAGCAUGUGGCUUAAUUCGAGGCAACGCGAAGAACCUUACCUGGUCUUGACAUGCCCGUCAUAGUUUUCCGAAAGGAAUUCGUCAGUUCGGCUGGACGGUGCACAGGUGCUGCAUGGCUGUCGUCAGCUCGUGUCGUGAGAUGUUCGGUUAAGUCCGGCAACGAGCGCAACCCUCGUUCCUAGUUGCCAGCGGGUAAUGCCGGGGACUCUAGGAAGACAAACCUCGUGUAGAGGUGGGAAGGUGGGGACGACGUCAAGUCAGUAUGGCCCUUACGACCAGGGCUGCACACGUGCUACAAUGCCCGGUACAAUGGGAUGCAAUACCGCGAGGUUGAGCCAAUCCAUAAAACCGGGCCCAGUUCGGAUUGGAGUCUGCAACUCGACUCCAUGAAGUUGGAAUCGCUAGUAAUGGCGUAU
Molecule: ribosomal RNA, 435 nt
Filed under: uncultured bacterium
Lineage: Bacteria
Description: bacterial SSU rRNA
Rfam family: Bacterial small subunit ribosomal RNA
Source: RNAcentral